Molecule: ribosomal RNA, 496 nt
Filed under: uncultured bacterium
Lineage: Bacteria
Description: partial 16S ribosomal RNA
Rfam family: Bacterial small subunit ribosomal RNA
Source: RNAcentral
GAUGAACGCUGGCGGCGUGCCUAAUACAUGCAAGUCGAGCGAACAGACGAGGAGCUUGCUCCUCUGACGUUAGCGGCGGACGGGUGAGUAACACGUGGAUAACCUACCUAUAAGACUGGGAUAACUUCGGGAAACCGGAGCUAAUACCGGAUAAUAUAUUGAACCGCAUGGUUCAAUAGUGAAAGACGGUUUUGCUGUCACUUAUAGAUGGAUCCGCGCCGCAUUAGCUAGUUGGUAAGGUAACGGCUUACCAAGGCGACGAUGCGUAGCCGACCUGAGAGGGGGAUCGGCCAAGCGGGAACUGAGACCCGGCCCAGACCCCUACGGGAGGCAGCAGUGGGGAAUCUUCCGCAAUGGGGGAAAGCAUGACGGAGCAACGCCGGGGGAGUGAUGAAGGGUUUCGGAUCGUAAAACUCUGUUAUUAGGGAAAAAAAAAUGUGUAAGUAACGAUGCACGUCUUGACGGUACCUAAUCAAAAAGCCCCGGCUAACUACGU